RNAcentral lists this long non-coding RNA (7574 nucleotides) under Sus scrofa (pig). RNAcentral describes it as "lncRNA (ENSSSCG00005023491.1)". Lineage: Eukaryota; Metazoa; Chordata; Mammalia; Artiodactyla; Suidae. The record is from RNAcentral.
UGGGAAUUAAUCCACCUUGGCCCCAUGUAUGCUCCCAGCCUAACCACGCAGGGGUCCAAAAGGGCCUCGGGUGGGACACAGAUCUGCUGGGACUGGGAGAGAGGCUGGUUCCUGGGGCCAGUGGCCAGCACCCCACAGAGCAGGGUGCAGUGUUUCAGAACAAGGCCCAGCCCUCCAGGGAUCCUCCCAGAACCUGAGCUCAGUGAUGCUCAAGGUACCAGCGAUUCAACAAAUGCCAUGAUCCUCCGCUGUCCGCCUCGCGCCUAAGGGCUGGAAUCACCAUAAGAAACCCCCUGUGGGCAAGGGCUCUGCCCAGGCUUCCCUCUUGUGCCUCCCCUGCCCCCUGCGGGGGAGACCACUCUAAAGGGGUCCUGGCCCCAAUUUUAUCGUGUGUGGAGGCUUCCCCACCCCAACAAACAAGUCUCAGAUGCCAGUAAGGUGUCCAAGACUUCAACUCGGUUCUGACACUGUCUCCCUGGAGAUAGAAUCAGAUGCCACAGGUGAGGGCUCAGUCCCACACGAUGCCCCCUCUUCAGAGGCCAGUGAGAAGCCCAGGUUGUCGCCUGUACUUCUGACUGACUGGCUAUAAAUCAGAGUUCCCACUACCUCCUCCCGAGUUUGAUGAAUCUGCAAGAACAGCUCACAGACUCAGGAAAACCCAUUUGCUCACUAGCUUACUGAUUUAUUUUAGAAGGGUGCAAAAGGGUAGGAUCCAUAGCCCGAGGGAGAGGUGUGUAGCGGCGGGUCAGGGGAGGGGCGAGGAGCUUCCGGGCUCUCCCUGGGCUCCACUCUUCCCAAACCUCCACCAGUUCACCAGCCCGGGAGCUGUCCAGACCUGGUCCUUUAGGGUUUUUAUGGAGGCUUCAUUGCAGAAGUGCGCUUGAUUGAAUCGCGGGCUGUUGGCAUUUGAAGGUCGGGGAAUGUGUCGGAAAGUUCCAACCCUCUAAUCAUAUAGUUCUCCUGGCUAUCCACCCCCAUCCUUAGGUGCUUCCAAAAAUCACCUCAUUCAGGUAACGAAAGACACCUACGUCAUUUCCACCACUUAGAACAUUCCAAAGCCAGGGAUUGUGGAUGAAAACCAAAUAUAUAUGAGAAAUAGGUUUGGUCACCUGAAUGACAAAACAUGUAUUUCUUAUGAACCACACAGUAUUGCAGCACUAAUUUAUAGUAAAUGGCAGGAGUUCCCAUUGCGGCUCAGUGGGUAGUAAACUUGACUGGUAUCCAUGAGAAUGCAGGUUCGAUCCCUGGCCUCCCUCAGUGGGUUAAGGAUCCGGCGUUGCCAUGAGCUGUGGUAUAGGUUGCAGACAUGGCUCAAAUCCUGUGUUGCUGUGGCUGUGGUGUAGGCCAGCAGCUGUUGGUCCAGUUCGCCCCCUAGCCUGGGAACCCCCAUAUGCCUCGCGUGCAGCCCUAAGAAAAAAAGACAAAAAUAAAAUAAAAUAAAAUAAAUGGCACACGCCAAAAUCUCUCUUUCCUAGGCUCUCCUAGGCUGGGAACUGGUAGUCAAUAGUAAAACACAUGGCAAAAUGCAAAACAUGUACCACAGAUGAACCCCAAUUUAUGAUGGUUUAACUUAGAAUUUUUUGAUGUUAGGAGGAUGUAAAAGUAACAUGCAUUCAGUAGAAACCAUACUUUGAAUUUUGAAUUUUUCUAGGUUGGCGAUAUUCUUUUCAGUCCAAUCCUCUCUCGUGAUGCUGGGUGGUGGCAGCCACAGCUCCUGGUCAGUCACGUGAUCACAAGGGUCAACAACUGAUACGCUUACAGCCACUGUGCGCCCCAACCAUUCAGUUUUUCACGGGCAGUACAGUAUUCAGUAAAUUACAUGAGAUACUUAACACUUUUUUAAAAAGGAGUUCCUGCUGUAGCUCAACGGGUUAAGAACCUGACAUAGUGUCCAUGAGGACGCAGGUUUGAUCCCUGGCCUCACUCAGUGGGUUAAGGAUUCAGUGUUGCCGAAAGCCUCGGAGUAGGUCAUAGAUGCACCUCGGAUCUGGUAUGGCUGUGGCAUAGGCCUGCAGCUGCAUCUCCAAUUCAACCGCUAGCCUGGGAACUUCCAUGUGCCACAGGCGUGGCCCUAAAAAGAAAAGAAAAUCGACUUUGUGUUAGGUGAUCUGCCCAGCUGUAGGCUAGUGUAAGUGUUCCAAGCGUGUUUAAGGUAGGUGUGGCUAAGCCGUGAUGUUUGGUAGCUUAGGUGUAUCAGUGCAUUUCAACUUAGGCUAUCUUCAAUGGGUUUAUCAUAAGCCAGGGAAGAUUGGUGUGUGUGUGUGUGUGUCUGUACACAUAUACAUAUACACAGAGGCCCAUAUAUUAAAUAUUUUAGGUUAAAACAUGUCAAUGUGAUUAAUCACUAAUCUUCUGGUGUUAAUGUUACCAAGGCCUUUUUUAAAAAUUGCUGAUAAUAUAAUAUAUUAUAAUAUGAUAUAAUGUAAUAAUCAAUAUGAUUAGAAAUUUCUCUUUCAUUGUCCGUACCCAUAUUGCAUCAUUUACGAAUUCCAGUUUAGGUUUUUUAAAGUUAGCCCCAGAACUCAGCAAAGCAAUCAGAUUGUGUGUUGUCUUGAAUUUUAACAUUUUUCCAAACAUCCUAUAAAUGUUACACUCACAUCUAUUUUGACAGCAGGUUUGAAGUCAUCUUUUUUUUUUUUACUUUGUUAUUAUAGUUGAUUUACAAUGUUCUGUCAACUUCUGCUGUACAGCAAAGUGCCCCAGUUAUACAUAUAUAUACAUUCUUUUUCUCACAUUAUCUUUAUCAUGUUCCAUCACAAGCGAUUAGAUAUAGGUCCCUGUGCUAUACAGCAGGAUCUCAUUGUUUAUCCACUCCAAAUGCAAUAGUUUGCAUCUACUAACCCCAAACUCCCAGUCCAUCCCACUCCCUCCCCCUCCCCCUUGGUAACCACAAGUCUGUUCUCCAAGUCCAUGAGUUUGUUUCUUUUCUGUAGACAGGUUCAUUUGUGCCGUAUAUUAGAUUCUAGAUAAAAGUGAUAUCAUGUGGCAUUUGUCCUUCUCUUUCUGACUUACUUCACUUCAUAUGAGAGUCUCUAGUUCCAUCCAUGUUGCUGGAAGUGGCAUUAUUUUGUUCUUUUUAUGGCUGAGUAGUAUGCCAUUGUGUACAUGUACCACAUUUUCUAAUCCAUUCAUCUGUCAGUGGACAUUUAGGUUGUUUCCAUGCCUUGGCUCUUGUGGAUAGUGCUGCAGUGAACACUUGGUGAAUGUGUCUUUUUCAAUUAAAGUUUUGUCUGGAUAUAUGCACAGGAAUGGCAUUGCUGGAUCAUAUGGAACCAUACAAAUAUUUUCUUAGGUCAGUCUCCAAAAGCAGUAGAAAUAAAAACAAAAAGAAACCAAUGGAACCUAAUCAAAUUUAAAAGCUUUUGCACAGCAAAGGAAACCAUUAAAAAAACAAAACAAAACAAAAACAAAAAAACCACCUAUGGAAUGGGAGAAAAUAGUUUCAAACAAUGCAACCAACAAGGGCUUCAUAUCCAAAAUAUACAAACACCUCAUACAACUCAACAGCAAAAAAAAACAAACAACCCAAUUGAAAAAUGGGCAGAAGACCUGAACAGGCAUUUCUCCAAAGAAGACUUACGGAGGCCCACAGGGACGUGGAGAAAUGGUCGCCCUCCCUAGUUGUUAGAGAAAUGCACCUCAAACCACAGACACCAGUCAGAACGGCCAUGGUUAAUAAGUCCACAAAUGACAAAUGCUGGAGCGGGCGUGGAGGACCGGGAACCCUCCUGCACUGUCGGUGGGAAUGUGAGCUGGUGCAGCCACUAUGGAGAACAGUGUGGAGGGGCCUCAGAAGACUACAGCAAAAGUUGUCUUUAUCAAACUCUCCAAAACGUUCAACUUAGUUCUUAUCGAAACACCUCUUCCUUUUUGUCCUUACACGUUUCACUUUAUGUCAUCAUUUAAUUUGGUAACAACUGAGGUGAGACGUUUUGAGCUCAAGCCCACGUUCCCCACGGAAGGUGCCUCUAGGGACCUGACCUCCACCUCCUUCCCGGUUCCUGAGUCGGCUGCUUUCACGAGCUCGGCGGCAGGGCUGCUGCGGGAGCAUCUGAGGAAAGGACCUCCGUUGCCGCGGGUCCCUCUGUCACGUCCCCACACGCGUGAGCAGAACCCUCUGUGAAUGUAGAAGAUGAGCACAGGGAUGCAACCAGAGGGAUGAUGGGUGGGCUCAGCGCAGGAGGCCGUGGAGCAAGCUGGGAAAAUCAUCUCUAGGCCGUGGAUGGACAGGGCACUGCAGGAAGGCUGCCCCUUGAACUGGGUCAUCAACUUGACCGAGCGAGAGAAAGCGUGGCCACCUGACCUGUGUACACGCGGCACUGCGGGCGUCCCCGAUCCUCCCACUGCUCCAGCCUCCGCUUGGCCCUACGUUCUGGGGUCACCUGACCUUCUGGAAGGCUCGACCACAGGCUCACGCACAGCCCGAACACCACCCUCCCUUUAGCUGUAACAUUUUCAGUUCUUGGAGGUGCCUAAGGAAGCUGAUGGGAAUACUAACAUUUACUCUCUUUGGGCUUCUGUCAUUCUGUCAGCAGAUGGUAGGAGGUGUGAACUUUGAAGGGAGACCAGGAUCCACGUGGUUUCCUUAAACCGGGCAGAGAGGAGAAGAACCUGACGUCAGUUUGCCGAGGCUGCCGUAAGGAAGCCGGCAGACUGGACGGCCUCAUUUCCUCCCAGCUCUGGAGGUUAGAAGUCUGAGGUCAAGGUGUUGGCAGGGUUGGUUUCCUCUGAAGCCCCUCUCCUUGGCUGGGACGUGGCCACCUUCUCGGCGUCACCUGGUCUUCCCUCUGUGGGCCCCUGUGUCCUCAUUCCCUCUUGGGUUUUUUUUUUUUUUGUUUCGUUUUUUGUUUUUUUGCUUUUCCUUUGUUUUGACCGCACCUGCAGCAUGUGGACGUUCCCAGGCCAGGGAUCGAACCCAUGCCACAGCAGAGACCUGAGCCACUGCAGUGACAACACUGGAUCCUUACUUCACCCUCUGAGCCACACAGGAACUCCCUGCUCUCUUCUCAGAAAGACAGCAGUCCUAGUGGAUUAGGACCUGAUGACCUCAUCUGAAAGACCGUCUCCAGAUACAGCCCCAUUCGGGGGACCGGGCAUUAGGGCCUCAGCCCGUGAAUGGGGUUGGGGCGCAAUUCACCCAGUGACACAUCCCGUGGGGCCGACGUGAAAGGACGCACCUGCUGGCAGAAGACACCUCCACGCCCUCCACGCGAGGAUGCUCGCUGGGGCGGAAAGGCGGCAGGGCACUUUCCAGCCCGGGUAGAACUGGACCCACGGACCCGCAGGGCAGGAGGCCGGCUGUGUGAACAAGGCUGGUUCCCCAGACACCACCCUCGGGCCCCCUCAGCUGUGAGACAGGGAUGGGCUGGCUUCCUGCCCGGCUCUGCCCACCGCACAGGGUGCCAGGGGAGCGUGGACCUGCUUCCUAAACUGUUACCACUGUAUGUGCAGGAUAUUCUUUACGUGUCAGGAUACUGACAACAAGCCGUGAACACGAAUAGAAAAGACUUGGAAACAGUUCAUACUGUGUGAUCGCACUGGCUGAGCUCGGUCUGGAAGUGACCGGAAGAGAGUCGGGGUGGAGGACAGAGGCGCCACCCCUGCCCGCCCCCUCUCCUCCCCCAGAGUGUGUCUCAGAGCAGCAGCUGCCCCCGGAUGGCACCGCCCCAUCUCCUGCCUGCGCCUCUGUCAUCAGCGGCCCCUCUUCUCUGGUCUUUCCCCUCAAGAUUCCAACCAUUGCAAGUUCUCUCUGGGUGAAAAAGCCCCAUCCCCACCCCCAUCCCCUCUGCCUCCUUCUCCAAACACAUGGGGACCCCUGCUGUGGCCAGCUCCUCAGCCCCCCAACAUCUGGCUUCUGUCCCCAAACGCAAGGCCCCUCCUCAGACCGCUUGGCCCUCUCCCUCGUGCGCUCCUCGCCCUGGGCUUUUGCACCUUGGCCUCCGUAGCCAGUUCCUGAGAUGGUAAAAGACCCUGAUUGCGCUGUCCGAGUGCCAACCUCCCACCCUGGGCCCUGAGCAUCUGCACCUCCUCUAUCAGACUCACAUUCCAGGCCGCUGUCCACGGGCACCGGGCACCGCGGGGCCAAGAAGCAGGCCGGGGAAACAGCCCCCGCGGCGACCCUCACCAGCCAGUCCUCAGCCUGCCCUGCCUUUCCCAAGAGACCCACGGGAAAAGCUCCUGCCCACGUUCGCCCCCUCCCUCUGCCCCGGGACCCCCCCUCCCCUGCUGCUCCCCUGCGUGGUCCCGCUGCCCCUCCUCUUGGGAACUGCAAGUGGCAAGCCAGCUUUUUGGGGGUUUUUUGGGGUUGUUUUUUUUUGGCCUUACCCGAAACACGUGGAAGUUCCUGGGCCAGGAUCAAAACCCACACCACAGCUGCAACAAUGCCAGAUCCCUAACCUGCUGCACCGCAAGGGAACUCCCAAACCAGCUUUUAAGGGCAGAGGAACCAGGGCGUCCCUGUCGUGAGGGAUGUGUGUGGCCAGUCCUGAGCCUGGCUGCCCUCAACCCCCGCACCUCCAGAGGGACUUCAUCUCUGUGCCUGUCCCGCGUGCUGUCCCUUGGCGAAGUGAGAAGGAAAACCGUAGUGAAAGCUGGGCAGUGGUUGACUUGCGGCCUGUGGUUAUGCCGAGGAAGAGGACUUCUCAGUGGGCACGUGCUUUCUGGAGAAAGCCAAGCGCCUGCAGGAGCAUUUGGGCACCUACGAACGACAUUUAUGAAACUCUCUGCUCUUCCUCCUGAAAAUGUCAAGUGACUAAAAUUCUUAGAAGUCGUCAUGAGACCUUCCACCCAAGGGUAGAAUCUCCCGGACGCCUCGCUGCUUGCCCACGCCCCAGGAUUGGGACUCGGGGACCUCGCUAUAGAGCCCCGACCUACAGGGCCCCCUGGGCCUGUGCCUUCCUCUGGACGAAGCUCCCACACGCAGGGGAGGGGACCCUCCCAGGGGGUCGCUCUGACAGUUCCACCUGAACAUGGGAGUAUUUCGACUGGGCCUGAAAAACAAACCGUGACCGUGGCUUUAUUUUUUACCCACCUAGCAUUUAAGGCAGACCCUUUACGCCUCCCUCCAAGUCUCACCUUGGCCGUGGGGCUCUGAUGUGGUUACAGGGGCUCAGAGCCGGGAGGGCUCAGGGGGUAGGGUGAGACUCAGAAGAGUGUCUGGAAAGAGGGGGUGCUCAGAAAGGGCGGGUGUGAUGAGUUGGACUUUCGUCACCCCCACACGCUAGGGUGACACCCUUACCCCCAAUACCUGUGUGCAUGGCCUUAAUGGGAGAGGGUCUUCGCAGGUGUGGUCAAGUUCAGGUGAGGUCACUAGGGUGGGCCUAAUCCAGGAUGACCAGGUCCUUAGGAAGAGAAGAAAAUGCCACCUGGAGAGUUCCCACUGUGGUGCAGUGAUAACAAACAAGACUAGUAUCCUGAGGACAUGGGUUCAAUCCCAGGCUCAGCUAAGUGGGUUAAGGAUCCAGUGUUGACAUGAGCUGUGAUGUAGGCCAGCAGCUGCAGCUGCAGUUCAGCCCCUAGCCAGGGAACCUCCAUAUGCUGCAGGUGCGGCCCAAAAAAAAAUAAAAAAAGAAAAA